Molecule: ribosomal RNA, 468 nt
Filed under: uncultured bacterium
Lineage: Bacteria
Description: partial 16S ribosomal RNA
Rfam family: Bacterial small subunit ribosomal RNA
Source: RNAcentral
GACGAACGCUGGCGGCGUGCUUAACACAUGCAAGUCGAACGGAAAGGCCCUGCUUUUGUGGGGUGCUCGAGUGGCGAACGGGUGAGUAACACGUGAGUAACCUGCCCUUGACUUUGGGAUAACUUCAGGAAACUGGGGCUAACACCGGAUAGGAGCUCCUGCUGCAUGGCGGGGGUCGGAAAGUUUCGGCGGUUGGGGAUGGACUCGCGGCUUACCAGCCUGCUGGGGGGGUAGUGGCUUACCAAGGCUUCGACCGGUAGCCGGCCUGAGAGGGUGACCGGCCACGUUGGGACUGAGAUACGGCCCAGACUCCUACGGGAGGCAGCGGUGGGGAAUAUUGCACAGUGGGCGGAAGCCUGGUGCGGCAACGCCGCGUGCGGGGUGACGGCCUUCGGGUUGUAAACCGCUUUCGCCUGUGACGAAGCGUGAGUGGCGGUAAUGGGUGAAGAAGCACCGGCUAACUACGUG